RNAcentral lists this ribosomal RNA (639 nucleotides) under Leptolyngbya sp. WUC1730. Its description in RNAcentral is "bacterial SSU rRNA". It matches the Rfam family "Bacterial small subunit ribosomal RNA", at positions 117 to 789 of the family's 1533-position model. Lineage: Bacteria; Bacillati; Cyanobacteriota; Cyanophyceae; Leptolyngbyales; Leptolyngbyaceae. The record is from RNAcentral.
GUGAGGAUCUGCCCUUAGGAUGGGGACAACAGCUGGAAACGGCUGCUAAUACCCAAUGUGCCGAGAGGUGAAACAUUAAUGGCCUGAGGAUGAGCUCGCGUCUGAUUAGCUAGUUGGUAGUGUAAUGGACUACCAAGGCGACGAUCAGUAGCUGGUCUGAGAGGAUGACCAGCCACACUGGGAGUGAGACACGGCCCAGACUCCUACGGGAGGCAGCAGUGGGGAAUUUUCCGCAAUGGGCGCAAGCCUGACGGAGCAAGACCGCGUGGGGGAAGAAGGUUUGUGGAUUGUAAACCCCUUUUGAUUGGGAAGAAGACAGUGACGGUACCAAUCGAAUCAGCAUCGGCUAACUCCGUGCCAGCAGCCGCGGUAAUACGGAGGAUGCAAGCGUUAUCCGGAAUUAUUGGGCGUAAAGCGUCCGUAGGUGGAAGUUCAAGUCAGUUGUUAAAGCGUGAGGCUUAACCUCAUAAGGGCAAUUGAAACUGAGCAUCUAGAGUGCGAUAGGGGCAAGGGGAAUUCCCAGUGUAGCGGUGAAAUGCGUAGAUAUUGGGAAGAACACCGGUGGCGAAAGCGCCUUGCUGGGUCUGCACUGACACUGAGGGACGAAAGCUAGGGGAGCGAAAGGGAUUAGAUACCCCU